Molecule: ribosomal RNA, 253 nt
Filed under: uncultured bacterium
Lineage: Bacteria
Description: partial 16S ribosomal RNA
Rfam family: Bacterial small subunit ribosomal RNA
Source: RNAcentral
UACAGAGGGUGCGAGCGUUGUUCGGAAUUAUUGGGCGUAAAGGGCGCGUAGGCGGUGCGGUAAGUCACCUGUGAAAUCUCCUGGCUCAACUGGGAGCUUGCAGGCGAAACUGCCGUGCUGGAGUGUGGGAGGGGUGCGUGGAAUUCCUGGUGUAGCGGUGAAAUGCGUAGAUAUCAGGAGGAACACCUGUGGCGAAAGCGGCGCACUGGACCACAACUGACGCUGAGGCGCGAAAGCUAGGGGAGCAAACAGG